Molecule: transfer RNA, 92 nt
Filed under: Chitinivibrionales bacterium
Lineage: Bacteria; Pseudomonadati; Fibrobacterota; Chitinivibrionia; Chitinivibrionales
Description: tRNA-Ser
Rfam family: tRNA
About the family: Transfer RNA (tRNA) molecules are approximately 80 nucleotides in length. Their secondary structure includes four short double-helical elements and three loops (D, anti-codon, and T loops).
Source: RNAcentral
GGAGAGGUGGCCGAGAGGCCGAAGGCGGCGGUUUGCUAAACCGUUGUAGGGGUAACACUCUACCGGAGGUUCGAAUCCUCUCCUCUCCGCCA